This 1692-nucleotide long non-coding RNA is filed under the name Canis lupus familiaris (dog). Its description in RNAcentral is "lncRNA (ENSCAFG00040021885.1)". The record is from RNAcentral. Lineage: Eukaryota; Metazoa; Chordata; Mammalia; Carnivora; Canidae.
CACAGGCUGGAACAUUAUGCUGCCCUCAAAAAUCACAUUACAGACGAGCGUUUCAUGAUGGGAAAACGCUCCCGGUGCGGUAUUAAGGACAAAAAAGCAAGAUAGGACAUAGUAAGUACAAUCUGAUCCAAAUUAUGUCAUAAAUACAUAUUUGGUAAAAGACUGACACGCAAAACACCCAAAUGCUCGUGUUUUCUAUAGAAAACACAUGCUCUUGUUUUUUUUUUUUUUUUAAUAACCGGAAAAAUAGAACAUUUUAAAAGAAUCCAUUAGCCUUCAGGGCUCAGCCCCGGCAGGCCCUCUGCUAAGCCCCCCAGCUCUGCUGAGGCAGCAGCCUGCACCCCACUUUACCUCCCGCGUCCACCCCUGCCCGGUACGGUCCCCCCCCGGGCAGCGGACAGCGUGCUGUGCUGUGGCCCCUGACGAGCCUGCGGGUAGGGCCCAGCCGCCCCUGCCCGCAGCCCUCCUACCGCCCUUGGCAGCCUUGCAGAUAACCCUGGCCACAUCCCCGCUCCCGGGCUCCCGGCAGUAAUUACAGGUUAAGGCAGAGGGGCUAAUUAGCUGCUCAACCCACCCAGAACUGACUGAUUAGCAGGAAUAUUCUGAUAGAGAUAACCGGACUUCAAAGCAAGGCCCGGAGUCCAGAAGGGAACCCAGCCAUCUGCUCCCCGCCACGCCCCACCAGCUUCCCGGGUGGCAGGACAGGGUAGGUCGAGCCUCGGCUGCACCAGAACCGCCACCUAAUCCUUCAGGAGAAGGGGCUUGAGGCCCACUGCCCCGCGGAGCCUCCGGGGGGGCUUCCCCUGAAAAUGGGACGACGCUCCGUCCAACAUGCCCCAGCCUUCCCUGGGGCUCCUUCCAGUUAGCAAAGUCCCUCUGCGGCCUUCGCCUGGUCCCAGAAGCCUGUCAAGAACAGUGGGUUGGCUCAGAUAAGGAGAAGUCACUCGUCCAAGGUCAUGAGCCAGCCAGGAGACAAGUCAGGAGCACGCCAGGUCCCCCUCCUUGCCCAUCCACCGCUUCUUCGGUACUCGCCCCGCGUGGGACACGGGAGAGGCUGCCCCUUAUCAGCUGUGGCCGGGUGGCCUCUGAUGUGCCCACAAGGUCUGACCUAACGGUUUGGACUCCGAAGCAACCUUGAGGACAGGCACCGGGCCGCUGCUGGCACAGGGCUGGGGCCAGUAACGUGUUUGCCCAGAGGAGAAUGAUGCCGCUGUUGCCUGGGGGCCUAGGAGUGAAGGGAAAUCAGGCUCCCACGCUGCGGCUGCUCCCGUUCCACCCGGUCCCUUCACACUGUCAUGAUCCUGGAAGAAAAUGCAAUGCAAUCUGUUUUGAAGUCUUCAGAAAAUAAUAAGCCACAGAGUUGUCAGAGCUGAAAGGAACCUCAGAGCGCAAGGGCCCAACCUGAAGGACCCGAGGCCCAAGGUCACGCAAGGAGGGGGAAGCUGUCCUGAGUCUGUGCCCCUGCGCUCUGCACAACUCACACAGAGGCCGGGGCCUGGGGACCCAAUCUCUGCUGCCUAUGGGGGCUAUGGGGGGGUUGCGAGCAGAGAGAAGGAGGAGGCAGGGAGCGCAGACACAGGGGCAGGAGUGGCAUGAAGCCGGGUUGUGGCGUGAUGGAUGGGGCGGGGGGAGCUGGAGCGGCUGCUGGAACCACAGCUCCCCUGAGCCCCGUCCCUCCGCGAUAAGAUAAUC